GGUUAAGUGACUAAGCGUAUAUGGUGGAUGCCUUGGCAGUUAGAGGCGAUGAAGGACGUGUUAAUCUGCGAAAAGCUCAGUUAAGGUGAUAAAAACCGUUACAGACUGAGAUAUCCGAAUGGGGAAACCCACUUGCAUAAGCAAGUAUCUUUGCGUGAAUACAUAGCGUAAAGAGGCGAACCGGGAGAACUGAAACAUCUAAGUACCCCGAGGAAAAGAAAUCAACCGAGAUUUCCUUAGUAGCGGCGAGCGAACGGGAAUUAGCCCUUAAGUGGUUUGUAA
Molecule: ribosomal RNA, 282 nt
Filed under: Thalassotalea piscium
Lineage: Bacteria; Pseudomonadati; Pseudomonadota; Gammaproteobacteria; Alteromonadales; Colwelliaceae
Description: Bacterial large subunit ribosomal RNA
Rfam family: Bacterial large subunit ribosomal RNA
Source: Rfam by way of RNAcentral